RNAcentral lists this long non-coding RNA (212 nucleotides) under Salvia miltiorrhiza (redroot sage). RNAcentral describes it as "long non-coding RNA (SMIL_LNC000222)". Lineage: Eukaryota; Viridiplantae; Streptophyta; Magnoliopsida; Lamiales; Lamiaceae. The record is from RNAcentral.
GAGUUAUGUGUGUGCACUAAUUACUAGUGUUAUGUUAUUUUGGCCACAUUAGUGCAUAAGUAUAGUUUUUAUUUUAAUUAGUGAGUGAUAUUACAUGAUUUAAUUUUACUACACAUUCCUACACUCACACACACAUUAUUUUAAUGAAUUUAGCAUGUGCUAUUUGCCCAGUGGGCAAGUGGAUAAUGGUGUAGAGAUUAGGGGAGAUAUGG